This 405-nucleotide ribosomal RNA is filed under the name uncultured bacterium. RNAcentral describes it as "partial 16S ribosomal RNA". It matches the Rfam family "Bacterial small subunit ribosomal RNA", at positions 28 to 526 of the family's 1533-position model. The record is from RNAcentral.
GAUGAACGCUGGCGGCGUGCCUAAUACAUGCAAGUCGAGCGCAGCGGGGGCGGGUGAGUAACACGUGGAUAACCUCCUAUACGACUGGGAUAACUUCGGGAAACCGGAGCUAAAACUGAUACUUAUAGAUGAAUCCGCGCUGCAUUAGGUAGUUGGUAAGGUAACGGCCUAACAAGGCAACGAUGCAUUGCCGACCUGAGAGGGGGGUCGGCCACACUGGAACUGAGACGCGGUCCAGACUCAUACGGUAGGCAGCAGUAGGGAAUCUUCCGCAAUGGGCUAAAGCCUGACCGAGCAAAGCCGCGUGAGGUAUGAAGGUCUUCGGAUCUUAAAACUCUGUUAUUAGGGAAGCGGUACCUAAUCAGAAAGCCACGGCUAACUACGUGCCAGCAGCCGCGGUAAUAC